AGGGGGUGGUGAGUAUUCCUAGCCCUGGACACCUUCUAUGGGGUGGGCCGUGGGAUGAGGGACAGAGGAAGAGGCCGCCUAGAGCCAUCCUUCAGGCCCUUGCUCUGCCACCGCCUGUUACCCCACUUCCCCUGUGUUACUCAAGAAACAGCUGUGGCGACGCACGCUUCCUGCCCCCCAUCCCUUCCUCCGUCCCUGCCCUCCCCCGUCUACCAUCUGCUCAGUGCCCAGGCUGGCCCACAGCCAGUGCCCAGUGGGUAAAACGCUCAAAUGAAAUAGCCACUGAAUGGGGCCCUUGGUGGCCGGGUGGGGUGGCUGGGGUGGGUGGCCAGUGCAGCCACAGGCCCUCACAUACAGUCCUGUCUGUGUGUCCCGUGGAAGCGCUACGUGGAUGGUGGCAUUUCAGACAACCUGCCACUCUAUGAGCUUAAGAACACCAUCACAGUGUCCCCCUUCUCGGGCGAGAGUGACAUCUGUCCGCAGGACAGCUCCACCAACAUCCACGAGCUGCGGGUCACCAACACCAGCAUCCAGUUCAACCUGCGCAACCUCUACCGCCUCUCCAAGGCCCUCUUCCCGCCAGAGCCCCUGGUGCUGCGAGAGAUGUGCAAGCAGGGAUACCGGGAUGGCCUGCGCU
This 637-nucleotide small RNA is filed under the name Pan troglodytes (chimpanzee). RNAcentral's name for it is "retained intron". Lineage: Eukaryota; Metazoa; Chordata; Mammalia; Primates; Hominidae. The record is from RNAcentral.